RNAcentral lists this ribosomal RNA (465 nucleotides) under uncultured bacterium. RNAcentral's name for it is "partial 16S ribosomal RNA". It matches the Rfam family "Bacterial small subunit ribosomal RNA", at positions 338 to 795 of the family's 1533-position model. The record is from RNAcentral.
CCUACGGGUGGCAGCAGUAGGGAAUCUUCCACAAUGGGCGAAAGCCUGAUGGAGCAACGCCGCGUGGGUGAAGAAGGUCUUCGGAUCGUAAAACCCUGUUGGUAGAGAAGAAAGUGCGGGAGAGUAACUGUUCACGUGUCGACGGUAUCUAACCAGAAAGCCACGGCUAACUACGUGCCAGCAGCCGCGGUAAUACGUAGGUGGCAAGCGUUAGCCGGAUUUAUUGGGCGUAAAGGGAACGCAGGCGGUCUUUUAAGUCUGAUGUGAAAGCCUUCGGCUUAACCGGAGUAGUGCAUUGGAAACUGGGAGCCUUGAGUGCAGCAGAGGAGAGUGGAACUCCAUGUGUAGCGGUGAAAUGCGUAGAUAUCUGGCAGAACCCCAGUGGCGAACGCGGCUCUCUGGUCUGUAUCUGACGCUGCGGUUCGAAAGCGUGGGUAGCAAACAGGAUUAGAUACCCGUGUAGUC